ACGCUGGCGGCAGGCCUAACACAUGCAAGUCGAGCGGAAACGACACUAACAAUCCCUCGGGUGCGUUAAUGGGCGUCGAGCGGCGGACGGGUGAGUAAUGCCUAGGAAAUUGCCUUGAUGUGGGGGAUAACCAUUGGAAACGAUGGCUAAUACCGCAUGAUGCCUACGGGCCAAAGAGGGGGACCUUCGGGCCUCUCGCGUCAAGAUAUGCCUAGGUGGGAUUAGCUAGUUGGUGAGGUAAUGGCUCACCAAGGCGACGAUCCCUAGCUGGUCUGAGAGGAUGAUCAGCCACACUGGAACUGAGACACGGUCCAGACUCCUACGGGAGGCAGCAGUGGGGAAUAUUGCACAAUGGGCGAAAGCCUGAUGCAGCCAUGCCGCGUGUAUGAAGAAGGCCUUCGGGUUGUAAAGUACUUUCAGUUGUGAGGAAGGGUGUGUAGUUAAUAGCUGCGCAUCUUGACGUUAGCAACAGAAGAAGCACCGGCUAACUCCGUGCCAGCAGCCGCGGUAAUACGGAGGGUGCGAGCGUUAAUCGGAAUUACUGGGCGUAAAGCGCAUGCAGGUGGUUCAUUAAGUCAGAUGUGAAAGCCCGGGGCUCAACCUCGGAACUGCAUUUGAAACUGGUGAACUAGAGUACUGUAGAGGGGGGUAGAAUUUCAGGUGUAGCGGUGAAAUGCGUAGAGAUCUGAAGGAAUACCAGUGGCGAAGGCGGCCCCCUGGACA
Molecule: ribosomal RNA, 723 nt
Filed under: Vibrio sp. 14B03
Lineage: Bacteria; Pseudomonadati; Pseudomonadota; Gammaproteobacteria; Vibrionales; Vibrionaceae
Description: bacterial SSU rRNA
Rfam family: Bacterial small subunit ribosomal RNA
Source: RNAcentral